Molecule: transfer RNA, 84 nt
Filed under: Spirochaetales bacterium
Lineage: Bacteria; Pseudomonadati; Spirochaetota; Spirochaetia; Spirochaetales
Also listed under: 2 other names
Description: tRNA-Leu
Rfam family: tRNA
About the family: Transfer RNA (tRNA) molecules are approximately 80 nucleotides in length. Their secondary structure includes four short double-helical elements and three loops (D, anti-codon, and T loops). Further hydrogen bonds mediate the characteristic L-shaped molecular structure. tRNAs have two regions of fundamental functional importance: the anti-codon, which is responsible for specific mRNA codon recognition, and the 3' end, to which the tRNAs corresponding amino acid is attached (by aminoacyl-tRNA synthetases). tRNAs cope with the degeneracy of the genetic code in two manners: having more than one tRNA (with a specific anti-codon) for a particular amino acid; and 'wobble' base-pairing, i.e. permitting non-standard base-pairing at the 3rd anti-codon position.
Source: RNAcentral
GCCGAAGUGGUGGAACUGGUAGACGCAGCGGACUCAAAAUCCGCCGGGGGCAACUCCAUGAGGGUUCAAGUCCCUCCUUCGGCA